Long non-coding RNA from Amphiprion ocellaris (clown anemonefish), 2618 nucleotides. RefSeq lists it as uncharacterized. The transcript has 3 exons. NCBI's taxonomy places the organism in Eukaryota, Metazoa, Chordata, Actinopteri, Pomacentridae. The record is from RefSeq and is a predicted model, not a curated record.
AACAAAUCGGAUGAAGUUUGUCUGAGAGGACGGUUUGGACACUUUGUCUCGGUCCAUGAAUGGAGUCACUGGAAGCCCUUUGAGUUUCUCUGUGUCACUCUGCACAACAAAAAAACAACAAAAACAGAACAAAGGUUUUCUGCUUUAGAGUGAGAUGGUUUUAAUAGGGGGCUCGGUGGUUAGAAGAUCCCUGGUUCGUGUCCCGGCCUUCCUGGGAUCUUUCUGCAUGGAGUCUCCAUGUUCUCCUGUACAUGUGUGGGUUUCCUCCAGGUUCUCCAGCUUCCUCCCACAGUCCAGAAACAUGCUGAGGUUCAUUGGUGAGUCUACAUUAUCCAUAGUUCGAAUGUGAGUGUGAAUGUUUGUCUCUGUGUGUAGCCCUGUGAUAGACUGUUACCUGUCCAGGUGUCUCCUACGUUCACCCCAAGUCAGCUGGGAUAGACUCCAGCCCCCUAUGACCCUAAUGAGGACUAAGCAGAGUGGAUGGAUGGUUUUAAUAGACUGUUCCCUUCUCGAAAAGGCAGCAGUAAGUUUCCACAUGUAAACAGUAAGCACCUGGUUGAAGAACUCCUGCAGCAGACAGUCCAGCCAGGGCUCGGCCACCGCCAUCGGCCUCGCCUCGUUGGAGAUGUCGCUCACCUUCACCAUGAUCUUCAUCAGCUGCAAACAAAGAGUCCCAGUCAACGGUAGGACAUUUGUUGAUCUUUUCACAGAGGAGCUGGAAGUUUGAAACUAAAGGUUCAGAGAAACUGACUUAAAGCUUUUUAUAAUUACAUUCAGAGCACUUCAUAUGUUUUAUUUUUCUUCAGCUGUUUUGUUUUGUGUCACUGAAAUGAAAAAUACAUAGAAGCGAAUGUUGUAGUUGUGUAUUGACAAAGUACCAAAACGACAGCAGUGAUGUUUUAAUUCCUAGACUAAAUAGUAAUACCAGCCCUGUUUACCCCACUUACUGCCACAUGAUGGCAGUAAUUAAUCAUUUUGGUAUUUGUAACCUAAAGAGAAAGAAGAGGUGUUGUGUUUUUCUAGAUUUAAUGUGAUGUGGAAUUAGAACUACAACAUAAAAACUAAGAAAUCAGCUCAUCAGAAAGCCUAAAGCACUCUGAAAACAUGAAGAUGAAGUGGUUUUAAUGUGCGUUUCUUCACCACUUCCUUAUGGUCCUUGUUGGUGAAGUCGAACACCGGCUGCAUGACUUUAAACUUGUUGAGGAUUUCAUUGUGCCUCGCCAUGUCAGUGGCCAGGAUACAUCUGGAAAAGGAAAAAUAAUAAUAUUAAAAACCGAACAAACCACUCAACAUAAAUGAGCUGAAGUCUUACUUGAUCAUUCCUCCUCGGAUGUGUUUGUACUGCUCAGUGGUCAGGUUUUUAAGGAUGUUGCACUCUGGCUGCAAAAUGAGAGUAAAUUUACAACAUUUGUAUGUGUUUAACGACUACAGAGUCAAGUAGCAAAGUGUAAAUCUGUGUUUUCUAUCGAAGUGUUGGACAUUUUUUCUAAUAAUUAUUGUUUCAUUAUUGUGAUUUAUUAAAAAAAAACUCCCAAGACUCAUUUAUGUCCUCAGUGAUGAUGUAGUCAGGUGUGUACAAUCCCAAAUUAAUUAAUAAAAGAUGAAUAAACGCAGCAAAACAUGUUCCAACUACAUCUACACACUUUAAACUUUUACAGCUUCUUUAUCUGCUGGACACAUUAACCAGAUAACCGUAGAAACUUCAAUCCAUUUUUUCGUUUAUGUAGAUACUGCUCUCAGUGUUUGUUGCUUUUUGCUGAUGAUAUUAGCUUAUUUCUUUGAUAGACAUAUUUAAAGCAAGAUUUUCUUUUUGUUAGUUACAUUAAUUCAGUUUGCAGUUAGAGGAUGCAAUUAUUCACAUUAAAAACUAAAUGAUGAAUAGUUUGGUUGAUUGCAAAGGUUUAGUUUCUCCACAUAUUCUAUUAUUUGGGCUGCCACUUUUCAGUCAGUUCUGCUCCUCUGUAAUAUUAAUAUUUACAAUCAUACUUUUUUAUUAUUUCUCUAUCAUCCCCUUUAAAUCCUUUAAUACAUCAUGUUUUUUCUACCUUGGCCAGGAUGCCAAAGGCGACGGCACAGUGGUGGUUUUCCAGAGGUGAAAUGUCGUUGUAGCGGAGAGCCAAGUCAGUCUGAGCAUUUAUCUGUGAGGGAAAAAGGAAUUAUAUAAAUAACAAACUUCUUGUUUACGAGACAAACUUAUUCAUACAACAGGAGACACGACCUGAUAGACGUUGUUGUAGCCGGGAUGGUCCAGGUCGUGGCACAGAGCCGAGGUCAGCAUGAUCAGCAGCUCGAUCCUUCCUAAUUUGUUCCUGAGAUCUGUGAGCCAGAUCAGCCCAUACAUCUGCCCAAAGAAGCACCAGUAAAACCAGCAAAACCAGUAGAACAAUGACACUUCUCUGCAGCAGCUGCCUGCACUCACAACAGUCAAAGACCUUUGGUCCUGAUUGACUGAUUUUGUUACCGUUUCUGUCAGAUAUACAAAAUUAAAAUCAGCACAAGAAACACUGAGAGGAACUCAGUUUAUGAAGCCAGACAUGUAGUAUAACAAAAACCAAAGCUGUCCUGGUUCAAGAAUCCAAUAUGGAGCAUAUUGAAAAUGAUUAUAUUGGCUUACACAG